GGCGAACGGGUGCGUAACACGUGGAUAACCUUCCUUGAGGUGGGGAAUAACCCCGCGAAAGCGGGGCUAAUACCGCAUAACAAAGCGAUGGCACAUGCUGUUGCUUUCAAAGGAGCAAUUCGCCACAAGAGGGAUCCGCGGCCGAUUAGCUAGUUGGCGAGGUAACGGCUCACCAAGGCAAUGAUCGGUAGCCGGUCUGAGAGGAUGAUCGGCCACACUGGAACUGAGACACGGUCCAGACUCCUACGGGAGGCAGCAGUGGGGAAUCUUGCACAAUGGGCGAAGGCCUGAUGCAGCAACGCCGCGUGGGGGAUGAAGCUUCUCGGAGUGUAAACCCCUUUCGACCCGGACGAAUGCCCGCAAGGGCUUGACGGUACGGGUAUAAGAAGCCCCGGCUAACUACGUGCCAGCCGCCGCGG
Molecule: ribosomal RNA, 419 nt
Filed under: uncultured bacterium
Lineage: Bacteria
Description: bacterial SSU rRNA
Rfam family: Bacterial small subunit ribosomal RNA
Source: RNAcentral